GCGGGAUUAACUCAGUGGUAGAGUGUCACCUUGCCAAGGUGAAAGUCGCGAGUCCGAGUCUCGUAUCCCGCUCCA
Molecule: transfer RNA, 75 nt
Filed under: Lachnospiraceae bacterium
Lineage: Bacteria; Bacillati; Bacillota; Clostridia; Lachnospirales; Lachnospiraceae
Also listed under: 4 other names
Description: tRNA-Gly
Rfam family: tRNA
About the family: Transfer RNA (tRNA) molecules are approximately 80 nucleotides in length. Their secondary structure includes four short double-helical elements and three loops (D, anti-codon, and T loops). Further hydrogen bonds mediate the characteristic L-shaped molecular structure. tRNAs have two regions of fundamental functional importance: the anti-codon, which is responsible for specific mRNA codon recognition, and the 3' end, to which the tRNAs corresponding amino acid is attached (by aminoacyl-tRNA synthetases). tRNAs cope with the degeneracy of the genetic code in two manners: having more than one tRNA (with a specific anti-codon) for a particular amino acid; and 'wobble' base-pairing, i.e. permitting non-standard base-pairing at the 3rd anti-codon position.
Source: RNAcentral